This 351-nucleotide ribosomal RNA is filed under the name uncultured soil bacterium. Its description in RNAcentral is "bacterial SSU rRNA". It matches the Rfam family "Bacterial small subunit ribosomal RNA", at positions 26 to 404 of the family's 1533-position model. The record is from RNAcentral.
AGAACGAACGCUGGCGGCAUGCCUAAUACAUGCAAGUCGAACGAACACUUCGGUGUUAGUGGCGCACGGGUGCGUAACGCGUGGGAAUCUGCCCUUGGGUUCGGAAUAACAGUUGGAAACGACUGCUAAUACCGGAUGAUAUCGAAAGAUCAAAGAUUUAUCGCCCAGGGAUGAGCCCGCGUAGGAUUAGCUAGUUGGUGAGGUAAAGGCUCACCAAGGCGACGAUCCUUAGCUGGUCUGAGAGGAUGAUCAGCCACACUGGGACUGAGACACGGCCCAGACUCCGUACGGGAGGCAGCAGUAGGGAAUAUUGGACAAUGGGCGCAAGCCUGAUCCAGCAAUGCCGCGUGA